AAAGCGCGCGUAGGUGGUUCGUUAAGUUGGAUGUGAAAUCCCCGGGCUCAACCUGGGAACUGCAUUCAAAACUGACGAGCUAGAGUAUGGUAGAGGGUGGUGGAAUUUCCUGUGUAGCGGUGAAAUGCGUAGAUAUAGGAAGGAACACCAGUGGCGAAGGCGACCACCUGGACUGAUACUGACACUGAGGUGCGAAAGCGUGGGGAGCAAACAGGAUUAGAUACCCUUGU
RNAcentral lists this ribosomal RNA (230 nucleotides) under uncultured bacterium. RNAcentral's name for it is "partial 16S ribosomal RNA". It matches the Rfam family "Bacterial small subunit ribosomal RNA", at positions 562 to 791 of the family's 1533-position model. The record is from RNAcentral.